GUUUGGAUCGAGGAGGUUGCAGUGAUGUAGAUGGUGAUUCAUCGUUGAAGAAACGGACGAG
RNAcentral lists this small RNA (61 nucleotides) under Caenorhabditis elegans. Its description in RNAcentral is "Unclassified non-coding RNA F29D10.7". Lineage: Eukaryota; Metazoa; Nematoda; Chromadorea; Rhabditida; Rhabditidae. The record is from RNAcentral.